RNAcentral lists this ribosomal RNA (481 nucleotides) under uncultured bacterium. Its description in RNAcentral is "bacterial SSU rRNA". It matches the Rfam family "Bacterial small subunit ribosomal RNA", at positions 29 to 506 of the family's 1533-position model. The record is from RNAcentral.
AUCAACGCUGGCGGCGUGCCUAACACAUGCAAGUCGAACGCGAAAGUCCCGGCAACGGGAUGAGUAGAGUGGCAGACGGGUGAGUAACACGUGGGUAACCUACCCUGGAGUGAGGAAUAACCCCGCGAAAGCGGGGCUAAUACCGCAUAACAUUCCCGAGACCCAAGUCUCGGGGAUCAAAGCCCGCAAGGGCGCUUGAGGAGGGGCCCGCGCCUGAUUAGCUAGUUGGUAGGGUAACGGCCUACCAAGGCUUCGAUCAGUAGCCGGCCUGAGAGGGCGAACGGCCACACUGGAACUGAGACACGGUCCAGACUCCUACGGGAGGCAGCAGUGGGGAAUUUUGCGCAAUGGGCGAAAGCCUGACGCAGCAACGCCGCGUGGGUGAUGAAGUCCCUUGGGAUGUAAAACCCUGUCGGCUGGGACGAAAGGGCCCGCAAGGGCAAUUGACUGUACCAGCAGAGGAAGCCCCGGCUAACUCCGU